GGCCCAUUUGUCUAGGGGUUAGGACGUUCGGUUUUGAUCCACAAUUAUCUCCGGAAAGCAUCAGUUCGAAUCUGAUAUGGGCCU
Molecule: transfer RNA, 84 nt
Organism: Drechmeria coniospora
Lineage: Eukaryota; Fungi; Ascomycota; Sordariomycetes; Hypocreales; Ophiocordycipitaceae
Rfam family: tRNA
About the family: Transfer RNA (tRNA) molecules are approximately 80 nucleotides in length. Their secondary structure includes four short double-helical elements and three loops (D, anti-codon, and T loops).
Source: Rfam